RNAcentral lists this ribosomal RNA (446 nucleotides) under uncultured bacterium. Its description in RNAcentral is "bacterial SSU rRNA". It matches the Rfam family "Bacterial small subunit ribosomal RNA", at positions 330 to 792 of the family's 1533-position model. The record is from RNAcentral.
CCCAGACUCCUACGGGAGGCAGCAGUGGGGAAUAUUGCACAAUGGGGGAAACCCUGAUGCAGCGACGCCGCGUGAGUGAAGAGGUAUUUCGGUAUGUAAAGCUCUCUCAGCAGGGAAGAAGAAGGACGGUACCUGAGUAAGAAGCCCCGGCUAACUACGUGCCAGCAGCCGCGGUAAUACGUAGGGGGCAAGCGUUAUCCGGAUUUACUGGGUGUAAAGGGGGCGCAGACGGCGAUGCAAGCCAGGAGUGAAAGCCCGGGGCCCAACCCCGGGACUGCUCUUGGAACUGCGUGGCUGGAGUGCAGGAGGGGCAGGCGGAAUUCCUGGUGUAGCGGUGAAAUGCGUAGAUAUCAGGAGGAACACCGGUGGCGAAGGCGGCCUGCUGGACUGCAACUGACGUUGAGGCCCGAAAGCGUGGGGAGCAAACAGGAUUAGAUACCCGUGUA